GCCCGCCUAGCUCAAUCGGAUAGAGCGUCAGACUUUUAUAUACAUGAUCUGAAGGCUGCGAGUUCGACCCUCGCGGUGGGCU
This is a non-coding RNA of Rhodocollybia butyracea, 82 nucleotides long. Lineage: Eukaryota; Fungi; Basidiomycota; Agaricomycetes; Agaricales; Omphalotaceae. The record is from the annotation of a GenBank genome assembly.